GCUGAGCUACCCUGGGUGGUCCUCCCUGUGCCUCCAGUGGGAAGGGCCCAGACAGUGCAGUGAUGCCACCUGCCGACACUUUGCAGCAUUGCACAGAUCCUGAGAGGAAUCCAGACCCAGGGCUGGCAGGUCCCAGAGAAAGGACACGAUUGCUUCUUCUCAAUGGACACAGGCACGGCUGCACACAUACUUGCUUGGUUAAGACCAGGAGCAAGGUGUCCCGGACAACCCCGGAGGCAAAGCAUCAGGAAAGUGAAGACUCCUUGACACUGCGUAGCAUCAUGAGCAUCCAUCCAGCGUAUGACAGCCAGUGCAUGGGUCAGUCUGUGAUUUAGCUAGCCCAGAGGACCCACUGAUUACCAGCUCAGGGAGAGCCAUUGCUGCUGCCAGCAUUGGAGAACGGGAAUAGACUUCUCAAGCCCACGUCCAUACAGGAUCUCUGACUGGACUGUAGCUAACCAGCUAGGCUAGGCUGGCUGGCCAAUACACCCCAAGGAUCUGCCCAUCUCUACUUCCCCAGCCGUGGGAUUACAAGUGCAUGACACCAAGACUACCUUUUUCUUUCUUUCUUUUCUUUUCUUUUUUUCCCCUUUUUCUUAUAUGAUGUCUUAGUUACUUUCCUGUAAUAAAAUACC
Peromyscus maniculatus bairdii (prairie deer mouse) is the source of this 635-nucleotide non-coding RNA. Lineage: Eukaryota; Metazoa; Chordata; Mammalia; Rodentia; Cricetidae. The record is from RefSeq and is a predicted model, not a curated record.